CUCACCUAGUUCAUGCUGUUUCCCCCAUUCCUAUAUGCCUCUGUCUUUUUAAUCACAUGUUUCAUGUGUUUAAUUCUUAAGGUAAAGACCUACUUUUAUUUGCACACUAAUGAUUUUACUAGCCUAUUGCAUAAUGCAAACAGUUCUAAAAUAGGGCAGCUAAUCAACACAAACGUAAGACAUGAAGAUUGAGGCAGCAUAAUCCAUUCACACAGCAAUGUAUGUCUGCAACAGAAGAGACUUUUAUUUUUCUGUUAAAUAGGAUGCCAGCAGGAACUGAGACUGCUCUUUGAUUCAGCGAUAAUGAGUGAACGUUGCACCAAUGAAAUUUACAUUUUGCCAGUGGUAUGAAAAGCACAAAAUUAUUCUUCUUACUUCAAAUUUAGGCUCCCCAAAUACAGACUGAUUUGCUGAAGUCUGAGUGCUCUGAAGCUCCUAUUUUCGUGAAUGAAGAUUUUGGCAAUCUAGUAAGAGCAUCCAACAUGAAAGGGAAGGACAUUACUGGCAAGAAUAAUUCUUCACACUUUUGACCAAACCAGCUACAUUUCCCCAAACCAGCCUUUCACCUCAAGCAAAUACUACUCAACUGCCCUCCAAUAAAUGAUCUUACUCCUUAAAGCUUCAAGGCAAAAACUGCCCGCUGAGCAGAAACACCCAAUGGGUUCAAUGUGGUGCAAGUCCCCACAGACCAGCUCUGUAAGCUUUGGAUUAUUAUUUUGAAAGGAAGGUGGCUGCACAUAAAGCCAGCUCUGCAAAGCACUGGGAACAGGACAGGCUCUCAUUUCAGGAGAUGUAUGGCUAAAAUGUGGCUGCCACAGGAAGGAUCUGGGAAGCCAUCAUACAUGCAAAAACUUCUCUUCCACUUUCCCUUUAAAGGGAAGAACAUGUUAUGUUCUUUAAAGAGAAGAACAUGUUGUGGAGAAGUGUGUCCAUUCACAGCCCGCAUCUUUACCCCAGCUUUCAGCAGCUCUUUGCAGCAGAAAAUGAGAGAGGUUUCUUAG
Molecule: long non-coding RNA, 1001 nt
Filed under: Parus major (Great Tit)
Lineage: Eukaryota; Metazoa; Chordata; Aves; Passeriformes; Paridae
Description: lncRNA (ENSPMJG00000009856.1)
Source: RNAcentral